UGGUUCACCAUCAAAUAUCAGAUACCAAACAUAUGGCCAUAGAACGUGACACUUACAUAGCAGCAGGAUAAGAACACACUUACUUCCUGGCUCCACCAAAGCCACAUCCGUUGCCGCCUCCAUUCGCAGGCUGCUCUGGGGUCAAUCUUGGUCGAGCCAGCGGUAGGGCAGGGGUCGUCUCAGCCAGUCGAAGAUCAAUUCUGUUGCAU
This is a long non-coding RNA of Syngnathus acus (greater pipefish), 209 nucleotides long. RefSeq lists it as uncharacterized. The record is from RefSeq and is a predicted model, not a curated record. NCBI's taxonomy places the organism in Eukaryota, Metazoa, Chordata, Actinopteri, Syngnathiformes, Syngnathidae. The transcript has 2 exons.